Molecule: non-coding RNA, 843 nt
Organism: Rattus norvegicus (Norway rat)
Lineage: Eukaryota; Metazoa; Chordata; Mammalia; Rodentia; Muridae
Source: RefSeq, a predicted model, not a curated record
AAGGAAGACAAAAGACUCCUUUCAAAAUAUUACUUCUCAUAAUGACGUACCUGGUCACCGAAGAACGCAGAUGGAUGUAUAAUGAAACUUAGAGAAAGGAAUGAAGUAGCUGAAGGGAUUCCCUGGAGAGUCUAGAUCCCAUGCUUCUGAGUAAUUCGAGGAGAUCAGAAUGUCAAUAGGAGCACAGGUUGGGGAAAAGUCUGCCAUAGCCCUGAUGGAGAUCUUUGAGGAACUCGAGACCGAUCCAGACCACCUUUGACUCUCUCAUACAAAACCAUGAGAUGGACGGAUGCACAUGGGGGCUCAGUGGCGAUUAUACAUAAUUCUUUGCUUAAUCUGCUGCGUGACAUCAAACUACUCUGCACUUCCCAGCAUUGUCACCCUUCCUACAGGUUGCCUGCUGCCUGUGAAGUCUCUUGUCCAGUUAGACUUGCAGAGAGCAGCCUUGAAACAUCAUCAGAUCACGUCUUCUCCAGCUUCAAAGGUGUCAGUGGCUUCCCGUACACUUGAUGUGCUCCGAACUCCAUCUCGUGACUUUUAACCAACACCCUGGCUCUUGCUCUGUGCUGGUCACCUCCAUUACUUGCUUCUUCUCCUUCACCAAUGACUCUGACAUAGCUCCAUCUUUCUAGUAACUAGGCCAUUCAACCAGAUUCAUCUCUACAAGGCAUUCUAUGUGCUCCUCACAGAACUUAGCCUCAGCUUACAGCCCUCUCCCAGCUCAUAUAUUCCUGUAGUUACCUUCCUCAAGGAAGAGCUGUUCUUGGUCAAGUCCUCCACCAAAGAACAUGUGAGAGUCUUCUCUGAGCUUCUUGUAAUUUCAGACAUCGCUUUGAAGUUUAA